This 490-nucleotide ribosomal RNA is filed under the name uncultured bacterium. RNAcentral describes it as "partial 16S ribosomal RNA". It matches the Rfam family "Bacterial small subunit ribosomal RNA", at positions 29 to 507 of the family's 1533-position model. The record is from RNAcentral.
AUUGAACGCUGGCGGCAGGCCUAACACAUGCAAGUCGAACGGUAACAGGAAGAAGCUUGCUUCUUUGCUGACGAGUGGCGGACGGGUGAGUAAUGUCUGGGAAACUGCCUGAUGGAGGGGGAUAACUACUGGAAACGGUAGCUAAUACCGCAUAACGUCGCAAGACCAAAGAGGGGGACCUUCGGGCCUCUUGCCAUCGGAUGUGCCCAGAUGGGAUUAGCUAGUAGGUGGGGUAACGGCUCACCUAGGCGACGAUCCCUAGCUGGUCUGAGAGGAUGACCAGAGAAAGGGGAACAGAAACACGGACCAGAGGACGCAGGAAGGCAGCAGUGGGGAAUAGUGGGCAAUGGGCGGAAGUAUGAUCAAGCUAGCGGGAGGGGGAGAAGAAGGACUUUGGGUAGUAAAGCUCUUUUGGGGGGAAGAAAGAGAAGCAAGGUAAUACCACGCUGCAGGGACGGGACCAGAAGAAGAAGCAACGGCUAACGAGGUG